UACGAUAGACAUUUCGCAGACAGCAAAUGAAAGACGUGUUUCUUCAAAUUCCACCAGAUCACUUAUCCAUGCAUCGACGGGGCAUGCUAUUUUAGGAGAUUGAAUAACUCCAGAUCGCAUGACGUUAGGUUGGCAGGAGGAACUGAUACUUUCUGAGCCGCUUUCUGUUUUGGGUUGUCCCAACGAGCUUUGUUCUGAAAACGCAUUAUUAGCAGACGAUUCAUUUUGCUGCGAAUUGUUAUCAACUUUGGGAGAGGAACUUGCUUCCAAAUCUAUGUGGCCAUCUACAGGUGGUGGUGGAUCAUGUUCCUCCAAAUUGCUGCUCCCUUGUGCGGUGGAAGGCGCUUGUUGUUGAACAAUGCAGGGAACAAUGACUUGUUGUUGACCGCUCACGCUAUCCUGGAAAUUCUCGCCAGCUCCGUGAGAUGUGCUUGGCUCCGAACUUUCGCUCCCUUGUGCGAUUAAACCAGGUGUUUGUUGCUGAACAAAGCUGGGGGUGGGAACACUGACUUGCUGUUGACCACUAGCACUUGGGCCUCCCAGUGUUUUGAAGUAUGUCUCAACUUCAAUACCAAAGACAUUGUCAGUGAGCAAAUUUUCCCACUUGUCUAACUUUGGGACUUAGCUGAGGUCUACAUUGCCGUAAAGUUUGGCGUGUACAUCAUGGACCAAUUGAAAGUCCUUUCGCAACUCCUUGAGUUCCUUUUCUAUACGUUGUUUGGUUUGGUCCUAAUCUGUAAUAAAUUUUCAGACCCUAUUUAUUGUACACAUGACUUUACCUCUGAGUUGCUUUCUCUUAUUUUUCAGCAUUAAGGAAGGGUCCUCUGUUCCCACUGAACUUGACUUAGUGCCUUCCGAGGUUCCAGUGGCAUGACAGGAUGUAAUAACAUCUUUACCAUCGGACAUAGUUCCUUGACUUGUUUGUUCCUAAUUACCAAAGACGGAUACCUCCUUGUUGCCUAUAGGUCAGCUCUUCUACUUGGACAAGGCUUGUUGUUCUUCAGAAAUUUUGGUGCAGAAGGUGACAAAUGUAUCAAGCCACCAGAGAUUUCUUUAAUCUUUAUUGAUUACUAGAUUCUGAAGAGUGGAUCUCUGUGGCUUGGGAGAACUAAUACGACGAAGCUUGAAUGCAAUUGAAUGUGCGCAAUACCGAUGCUGAUCACAACUGAAAUUGAAACCUUAAAUUCUAGUCCUGAAACGAACUAUUCAUGAGCUGUCAAAUAAAGGAAAACGAACUAUUCAUGAGCUGUCAUAUACAGGAAACCACAAUCACUAAACUAUUUAAGACCACAGAGAAACAUAGAAAAAUAAUCACGCAUUAUUCAAAGUCACGCAUUCUUCGUAAAUCACAGACUGUUCGUGUUCAUGUUCAUAAAUCACGCAGCAAAAGUAGCACAGUUCAUAACACCCUGAAAAGUGCUGAAUUAGCAAAAUAAAACUCUUUGCAGUAUCUUGAAUUGAAACACUCUGAUCGCAGUAUUGAUGGUUGAGUCAAAUGGAAUUUGAUAAAUAGCUACCCAGUCUAAGGUUUUGUCAGGAAUAAGACCUACAAAUUUGACAUUGCUUGUUGGUUCUAUUGUUCUCAUAGUCAGAAGAUGUUUGUAAAUUUUUUACUACAGUGUAGUUAAAGCUUUAAUUCCUACAGCAGUAUUAUCAUUCAGUUUGACAAAAAUUGGAUCCGAGUGCAAGUUUCUUACUGGUUUCACUGACAAAAUGUGAUUCCUCAGAAAUAAAGAUUGCUAAAUGAUUUUUUGAAACUUUCUCUGAAUAUUCCCUACCAAGCACUGUUGCAAAAAUAACAAUUAAAAAGAUAGGUCACCAUAUAUACUUGCAAAAGAGAUAUUCAGAUACAGAUACGAAGGGCCAAUUUUACCCCAUUUGUACCUAAUCACACGCAUUAUUUUCUCAGUUUACAUUACAUUUUGCGCUAGCUGGAAGUGAAAUUUUUAAUUAAAAAAAACUCUUAUUAAAAAAAACUUGCCAAGUAGAAGGUCUGGAGCAUAUGGAGCAAUUUUUUUUUAAGAAUUUUUAACUCAAAGGUGAUAAAUUGUAAACCAAAAUUAUGUAAUAACAAAUAAUUGAUAGGUCAUCAUGCUUGUUAAAGAGAAAACGAGCAUUUAUUUUGCUGUUGGGCUUUAAGGUUGAAGGAAAUGUCUCAAUGUUGUGUAUGCGCACAUGCUCAUGUACACCCACUAAUGAGGUACCUUAACUAACAUGUGCUACUCACCAGGGAGGGAGUCAAUAAUUCCAAAAGGUAAUUAGCAGUUGUUAGCUCUCUCUACUUCAACCCAUUAAAUCCCACAAAGUUCCUUGACUCUGCUAACAUAUCGUUAAUUAUUGAAAUUCUCAUCUUUAUCAAAUUUGGGUGAUAAAAAUGAUUUGUUCUGAAUGCAGAUGAAUUUAUUUUUUUCAAAUUUAUUAGCUAUCUUAACUCCCCAUCUAGGGUUUUGUUCUCCUACUGCAACAAGGAAGCCCAAGACUUAAGGCAUUUCUUAUAGAAACAGGGAAUGAUAUUGAAAGCUUACAAACAGGAAUCUAGUAUAUGCUUUCAAGAAUGGCCUUCAUCAGCAGCAUAUCUUUUAAAAGAAAAAAUUCAAUUCUUUAAGCUUCAAUGACAGCUUACAAGUGAGUCAUUUUUAACCUCUCCCUUCCCCUCCCUUCCAAAUUUUGUUAAUAAUUAUUACCAACAUUUAACAUUUUUUUGGUUACAUUUCAUUUACAACUUUUUCGAAUAAGUGGUUUUGGUUAAGUUAUAUAUGAAUUUUAAGAUGAUGAGAGACCAAAAGAUUCCCCAGGGUGGUGAGGUUUGCCUUUUCCAUUGAGCCAACAAUAAUUAUCUUCACAGAUUUGAUUUUAAGUUUCUUAAAGCCAUUUGUAGAUCCCUAAUAUUUUUGGCUAUUCUGACAGUUAGGCCUGGUUCAAACGUCGAACUUUACAUGUGCCCAACCUAAUACCAAUUUGGGUCGACCCAAAUAAUUAAGUUCGGCAGUUGAUUCAAACGUCGAACCUUAUUUAGUCAAACUUAAUUGCAAAGAUAAAAGAGACACUAAUGCAAAUGGCGGUUAUUGCUGACCAAAGUGGCAGAAACAGUGUGGGAAAGACGAAUUGUGGAAAUGAAGAGCUUGCUUUUCUUGUAAGUGCGAUCAAGGAGGGUAGCACAAGUCAAAGAAAGCGACUCCAGAUGCAGUUAGCCUUUGACAACCAAAGACGAUUUUUAAAUUUGGUUUGCCUUCUAUUAUUGCUUAUUCCCAAAGGAACAUCACAGUUCAACUGUGACGAGUCUCGUCCAGUUCGAUUCGUUCCUGUCGUUGGUUUCUUCAAGAUUCAUUUAUGUUGUCAUUUUCUCUCAAAAACAUGACUCGCAGUAUGCCACCAGACUGCCUGCUCUCCAACCCGCUACACUCUUGUCGCUUUCAAAUACAGAACAGGGCAAGCAGAAGUGGUUUAUGCACAUCAAGUGAGUAUAUUUUGUGCUCUCGAAGCACGAGGAACACAUAUCUUCCCGCUCUUCCUGCCAUUUUGUUCCAAAAGAUCAAAACAAGCUGUGUACGCAUGACAAAUGGGAAACAUGCAGAACACUGGGUAAAAAUUAAUUUAUUUAAUAUAUUUGUAAUGUAUGCAUCAGGUUCGGUACAUGAAAAGUUCGAUGCUUGAAUCGGAGUUGCUCCGUAGUCGAACUGACCUACUGUCCAUGUUGAAUUUUAUUCUCGGGUCGACCCAAAUAACAUGAGUCGAACUUAAUUGAUUCAAACGUCGAUCUCGUCAUGUACUUAAUUGGGGCUAUUAGGUUCGGCUCAUGAAAAGUUUGACGUUUGAACCAGGCCUUAAGGAAUCUUAAGAAUGCUGUGUAUGUUGGCAUCACCCUGUGAUGGACCCAGUUGUAAGAUGUCACUUUUUGCAACAUAGGUUUGAGGUCAGAGCAACUGCCAAAAAGAUUAAGUUAAUUCCAGCAUUAAUUUAUGUCCCUCAAAAACAUAGUUAAAUCAUCUGCAAAACUUAAGUAAGUUUAAUUUCUUUGUCAUCGACCUCUAUUCCUUUUAUUUCUGUAUUAUUACGCACAGAUGUUGGCAGGACCUCUAGAAAGAGAAUAAACAGGUUGCUCAGGCAGUGGAACCCACAGCACCUCCCCAAACUGUAUUUGACCCUAGACAGGGACCAUAUAAUGGACCACUGCCUCAUAUUUACCCUAAUCUGUACGACCCUGGAGCCCCCCUUCAUGAUCCUAGUUUACCUGGUAGCACAGAGCACAGCCCGCCACCCCCCUAUGAAGAAAGUUUAUAUGCGUUACCUGUAGAAGAGAAAUCAAAAUGAGUCAAUUCCUGGCUAGAAUGGACAAAAGGGUUUAGAUGGCAUCUUGAAGUUGCCAUACAUUUGGAUUAGUAACAGAUGUUGAAGAUUUAGUACACAAUGGUCAGUGAACUCUGGAAUACAGUGAAACCUGUAUUAAGCGGACCCCAUAUUAAUCGGACACCCUCUAUUAAGUAAACACCAGCUGAAGUCUCAACAUUUUCUUCCCACAUUCACUGUAAAAUAAACCUGCACCUCUGUUAAGCGGACGUAGACGCCGAUAUUAAGCUAUUUUGUUGCACAAAACUUGCAUUAAGCUGACACUUCAAGAGGUUUUUACUUCUAAAGGUCUAGCUGAGACCCCUUUAACAUUGUUCAGCGAUAUCAUUUUAAAGCUAAAUGAUUA
This 4693-nucleotide long non-coding RNA is filed under the name Orbicella faveolata. RNAcentral's name for it is "uncharacterized LOC110053785". Lineage: Eukaryota; Metazoa; Cnidaria; Anthozoa; Scleractinia; Merulinidae. The record is from RNAcentral.